Molecule: unclassified non-coding RNA, 355 nt
Filed under: fungal sp.
Lineage: Eukaryota; Fungi
Description: partial internal transcribed spacer region
Rfam family: Eukaryotic small subunit ribosomal RNA (bases 1-46)
Source: RNAcentral
AAGUCGUAACAAGGUUUCCGUAGGUGAACCUGCGGAAGGAUCAUUAACACGUUAUACACGUAACUACAUCUCCGUGAACCUAUUACAAUAAAGUUGGUUAGCCAGCGUAGCAAUGGAGGUAGAUGCUUUACUAUGUCAACUUAGGCUCUUGGAUGUCCGGAGUUCUUCGUUGUUCUACCUGCCUAUCCACUUUGUGGGUAUUCUGGCUCAUAUGACUUGAAUCAUAGUAGUAUUCUCUAUUCACCUUUUUUAUUAAUGUUGUAAUUUGUGAUGGUUGUGUGUGGGAGUAAAAUCCCUCUCGCAGCUCACGUUAAAAAAACACUAUACAACUCUUAGCAACGGAUAUCUCGGUUCU